RNAcentral lists this ribosomal RNA (865 nucleotides) under uncultured bacterium. RNAcentral describes it as "bacterial SSU rRNA". It matches the Rfam family "Bacterial small subunit ribosomal RNA", at positions 37 to 896 of the family's 1533-position model. The record is from RNAcentral.
UGGCGGAAUGCUUUACACAUGCAAGUCGAACGGCAGCACGGACUUCGGUCUGGUGGCGAGUGGCGAACGGGUGAGUAACAUAUCGGAACGUAUCCAAUAAUGGGGGAUAACUAAUCGAAAGGUUGGCUAAUACCGCAUACGCCCUACGGGGGAAAGCUAGGGAUCUUCGGACCUGGCGUUAAUGGAGCGGCCGAUAUCUGAUUAGCUAGUUGGUGGGGUAAAGGCCCACCAAGGCGACGAUCAGUAGCUGGUCUGAGAGGACGACCAGCCACACUGGAACUGAGACACGGUCCAGACUCCUACGGGAGGCAGCAGUGGGGAAUUUUGGACAAUGGGCGCAAGCCUGAUCCAGCCAUUCCGCGUGAGUGAAGAAGGCCUUCGGGUUGUAAAGCUCUUUCGCAAGGGAAGAAAACUUAUCCUCUAACAUAGGAUGAGGUUGACGGUACCUUGAUAAGAAGCACCGGCUAACUACGUGCCAGCAGCCGCGGUAAUACGUAGGGUGCGAGCGUUAAUCGGAAUUACUGGGCGUAAAGCGUGCGCAGGCUGUUUUGUAAGUCAGAUGUGAAAUCCCUGAGCUCAACUUAGGAACUGCGUUUGAAACUACAAGACUAGAAUAUGUCAGAGGGGGGUAGAAUUCCACGUGUAGCAGUGAAAUGCGUAGAGAUGUGGAGGAAUACCAAUGGCGAAGGCAGCCCCCUGGGAUAAUAUUGACGCUCAUGCACGAAAGCGUGGGGAGCAAACAGGAUUAGAUACCCUGGUAGUCCACGCCCUAAACGAUGUCUACUAGUUGUUGGUGGAGUAAAAUCCAUGAGUAACGCAGCUAACGCGUGAAGUAGACCGCCUGGGGAGUACGGUCGCAAGAUUA